Molecule: long non-coding RNA, 898 nt
Filed under: Homo sapiens (human)
Lineage: Eukaryota; Metazoa; Chordata; Mammalia; Primates; Hominidae
Description: HSALNT0398821
Source: RNAcentral
GAGGAGUGCUGUUCGUGUGUUCGAGUCCCUGGGUUGCUUCCUGGGGUCUGUGGUGCUGGGUGUGCUAUCUGCGUGUGAUUCUCUAGCGAGAGAUUGUGGGCGAGUGACCGAGUGGGCAAGGGGCCGUCACUGUGUGUGCGUGAUUUUGACAGUGUGUGGUGGUAGCUUCUGACUCCGCGUGGGUCGUUGAAUGUAUGACUGGGACCGUUUAGCGGUGGAUACACAACUGUGUGCGGCUGUGGAAGAUUGCCUCAUCCGUUACGUUCCCAUUUCCGUGGAACAACAGUUUUACCAGAAGGUUUCGAAGGAACCUUAAAGUUUGGAAGCGUAAGAGUUUAUCUGAGAUGGGAGCCUCACUGUAUUGCCCAGGCUGGUCUUGAACUCCGGAGCUCAAGUGAUCGUCUUGCUUCAGCCUUGCAAAAUGAUGGUGAAGCUGCAUCAUUGUCUGGGGUAAAUACCUGAGGUUCGUUGUCUCACGCCAAGGGAAUCAAGGACGUGGACACACAAGAAAUGGAGUCCCUGUCUGACCGGGCCAUGUUGUAUGUUCCUUGCUGUACACGUGGUUGACAAAGAAAAGGGAAGAUGGAGCUGCGAUGUUGGACAUGCCUGGCCCCCAGGACAUACAGCCCUGCCGAGCAAAUAAUGAACGUAACUCACAAACUUCCUGCUUAUCAUCAAACGCACGCAUCCACUUAUCAUCAAACACCUCGGGUGACAGAAGAAUGCAGGUCAGCUCCCUGCUGCCUUGGCAUUAUCAAUCAGCCCAGGAACCAUCCUAUAAAAUCUCCAGCAAGCCUUUGUUUCCUUGCAGUCAGCUCCUCUUCCACUGAUUCUGCCUGUUGCUCCCUGAUAACAUACUUUGAUACUGUCUUUAAUAAAUCUGCCUUUCUUCACCCAC